This 290-nucleotide long non-coding RNA is filed under the name Phaseolus vulgaris (common bean). RNAcentral's name for it is "long non-coding RNA (PVUL_LNC000617)". Lineage: Eukaryota; Viridiplantae; Streptophyta; Magnoliopsida; Fabales; Fabaceae. The record is from RNAcentral.
GCCUUUCAGAUCCUUCUCUACUUUCCUGAGUUUUAGAACAAUAAUCUGAACUCGUUCAAGACGAGAGGGAUUUUCUUUCUUCGCACCGCCUGCAAGCGUGGAAGCUUUAUCUGGUCUUACUGCGUUAAUAUUGAUGCAAAUUGUGCUUGAUGUUCACUGAUUUAACAGGAACGAUAUAAAGCGAACUGGAUUAUGAAAUUUUAACCACAGAAAGUUCAAGAUCUUAGCUCAACAAUGGCACUGGAAUUGCACUUCUUUUUGUAUUUCUUUUUUGUGUUCUGUUUUUCCUC